This 1372-nucleotide ribosomal RNA is filed under the name uncultured bacterium. Its description in RNAcentral is "bacterial SSU rRNA". It matches the Rfam family "Bacterial small subunit ribosomal RNA", at positions 28 to 1381 of the family's 1533-position model. The record is from RNAcentral.
GAUGAACGCUGGCGGCGUGCCUAAUACAUGCAAGUCGAGCGAACGGACGAGAAGCUUGCUUCUCUGAUGUUAGCGGCGGACGGGUGAGUAACACGUGGAUAACCUACCUAUAAGACUGGGAUAACUUCGGGAAACCGGAGCUAAUACCGGAUAAUAUUUUGAACCGCAUGGUUCAAAAGUGAAAGACGGUCUUGCUGUCACUUAUAGAUGGAUCCGCGCUGCAUUAGCUAGUUGGUAAGGUAACGGCUUACCAAGGCAACGAUGCAUAGCCGACCUGAGAGGGUGAUCGGCCACACUGGAACUGAGACACGGUCCAGACUCCUACGGGAGGCAGCAGUAGGGAAUCUUCCGCAAUGGGCGAAAGCCUGACGGAGCAACGCCGCGUGAGUGAUGAAGGUCUUCGGAUCGUAAAACUCUGUUAUUAGGGAAGAACAUAUGUGUAAGUAACUGUGCACAUCUUGACGGUACCUAAUCAGAAAGCCACGGCUAACUACGUGCCAGCAGCCGCGGUAAUACGUAGGUGGCAAGCGUUAUCCGGAAUUAUUGGGCGUAAAGCGCGCGUAGGCGGUUUUUUAAGUCUGAUGUGAAAGCCCACGGCUCAACCGUGGAGGGUCAUUGGAAACUGGAAAACUUGAGUGCAGAAGAGGAAAGUGGAAUUCCAUGUGUAGCGGUGAAAUGCGCAGAGAUAUGGAGGAACACCAGUGGCGAAGGCGACUUUCUGGUCUGUAACUGACGCUGAUGUGCGAAAGCGUGGGGAUCAAACAGGAUUAGAUACCCUGGUAGUCCACGCCGUAAACGAUGAGUGCUAAGUGUUAGGGGGUUUCCGCCCCUUAGUGCUGCAGCUAACGCAUUAAGCACUCCGCCUGGGGAGUACGACCGCAAGGUUGAAACUCAAAGGAAUUGACGGGGACCCGCACAAGCGGUGGAGCAUGUGGUUUAAUUCGAAGCAACGCGAAGAACCUUACCAAAUCUUGACAUCCUUUGACAACUCUAGAGAUAGAGCUUUUCCCUUCGGGGGACAAAGUGACAGGUGGUGCAUGGUUGUCGUCAGCUCGUGUCGUGAGAUGUUGGGUUAAGUCCCGCAACGAGCGCAACCCUUAAGCUUAGUUGCCAUCAUUAAGUUGGGCACUCUAAGUUGACUGCCGGUGACAAACCGGAGGAAGGUGGGGAUGACGUCAAAUCAUCAUGCCCCUUAUGAUUUGGGCUACACACGUGCUACAAUGGACAAUACAAAGGGCAGCGAAACCGCGAGGUCAAGCAAAUCCCAUAAAGUUGUUCUCAGUUCGGAUUGUAGUCUGCAACUCGACUACAUGAAGCUGGAAUCGCUAGUAAUCGUAGAUCAGCAUGCUACGGUGAAUACGUUCCCGGGUCU